Molecule: ribosomal RNA, 253 nt
Filed under: uncultured bacterium
Lineage: Bacteria
Description: partial 16S ribosomal RNA
Rfam family: Bacterial small subunit ribosomal RNA
Source: RNAcentral
GACGAAGGGGGCUAGCGUUGUUCGGAAUUACUGGGCGUAAAGCGCGUGUAGGCGGUUGUUCAAGUCGGGCGUGAAAGCCUUGAGCUCAACUCAAGAAAUGCACUCGAUACUGGAUGACUUGAGGACCGGAGAGGAUAGUGGAAUUCCCAGUGUAGUGGUGAAAUACGUAGAGAUUGGGAAGAACACCAGUGGCGAAGGCGGCUAUCUGGACGGUUUCUGACGCUAAGACGCGAAAGCGUGGGGAGCAAACAGG